CAGAAGGUAGUUUAGUUUAGAAUACUAGCUUUGGGAGUUAGUGGUGGGAGUUAAAAUCUUUCUCUUCUGG
This 70-nucleotide transfer RNA is filed under the name Astyanax sp. n. IRO-2020. Its description in RNAcentral is "tRNA-Pro". It matches the Rfam family "tRNA". From Rfam's summary of the family: Transfer RNA (tRNA) molecules are approximately 80 nucleotides in length. Their secondary structure includes four short double-helical elements and three loops (D, anti-codon, and T loops). Lineage: Eukaryota; Metazoa; Chordata; Actinopteri; Characiformes; Acestrorhamphidae. RNAcentral also lists the same sequence under 1 other name. The record is from RNAcentral.